CCUACGGGGGGCAGCAGUGAGGAAUAUUGGUCAAUGGCCGAGACGCUGAACCAGCCAAGUCGCGUGAGGGAAGAAUGUCCUAUGGAUUGUAAACCUCUUUUGUCAGGGCGCAAAGUCACCCACGUGUGGGUGUUGGAGAGUACCUGAAGAUACAGCAUCGGCUAACUCCGUGCCAGCAGCCGCGGUAAUACGGAGGAUGCGAGCGUUAUCCGGGUUUAUUGGGUCUAAGGGGUGCGUAGGAGGGUUAUCAAGUCAGCGGUAAAAUCGUGGGGCCAAAAUCCAUCCAGCCGUUGAAACUGAUGAUCUUGAGUGGGCGAGAGGUAUGCGGAAGGCGUGGUGUAGCGGUGAAAUGCAUAGAUAUCACGCAGAACUCCGAUUGCGAAGGCAGCAUACCGGCGCCCGACUGACGCUGAAGCACGAAAGCGUGGGUAUCGAACAGGAUUAGAUACCCCGGUAGUC
RNAcentral lists this ribosomal RNA (459 nucleotides) under uncultured bacterium. RNAcentral's name for it is "partial 16S ribosomal RNA". It matches the Rfam family "Bacterial small subunit ribosomal RNA", at positions 338 to 795 of the family's 1533-position model. The record is from RNAcentral.